This 494-nucleotide ribosomal RNA is filed under the name uncultured bacterium. Its description in RNAcentral is "bacterial SSU rRNA". It matches the Rfam family "Bacterial small subunit ribosomal RNA", at positions 30 to 507 of the family's 1533-position model. The record is from RNAcentral.
AUGAACGCUAGCGGCAGGCUUAAUACAUGCAAGUUGAGGGGCAGCAUGAUAUACGCGAGUAUAUUGAUGGCGACCGGCGGACGGGUGAGUAAUAGGUAGGAGACCUACCUCAUACAGGGGGAUAGCAUAGAGAAAUCUGUGGUAAUACCCCAUGAGGUUAUAUGAAUAGAGGCAUAUAAUCAAAGCAUAAGCGAUUAUGCGGUAUGAGAGAGGCCUACUGACCAUUAGCUAGUUGGUGAGGUAAGGGCUCACCAAGGCGAAGAUGGUUAGGGGUUUUGAGAGAGAGACCCCCCACAUUGGAACUGAGAGACGGUCCAGACUCCUACGGGAGGCAGCAGUAGGGAAUGUUGGGCAAUGGGCGAAAGCCUGACCCAGCCAUGCCGCGUGAAGGAAGACGGCCUUAUGGGUUGUAAACUUCUUUACUACGCGAAUAGAGGUUAGUACGAGAUACUAAUAGGAAGGUAGUGUAGUAAAAAGCACCGGCUAACUCCGUG